Long non-coding RNA from Oncorhynchus tshawytscha (Chinook salmon), 1110 nucleotides. NCBI's taxonomy places the organism in Eukaryota, Metazoa, Chordata, Actinopteri, Salmoniformes, Salmonidae. The record is from Ensembl.
CAGUCAGUUGUCUCUCCCUCUCCCCUCUAUCCCUCCAGUCAGUUGUCUCCCCCCCCCCCUCUGUCCCUCCAGUCAGUUGUCCUCCCCCUCCCCUCUAUCCCUCCAGUCAGUUGUCUCUCCCUCUCUCCCUCUAUCCCUCCAGUCAGUUGUCUCCCCCUCUCCCCUCUAUCCCUCCAGUCAGUUGUCUCUCCCUCUCCCCUCUAUCCCUCCAGUCAGUUGUCUCUCCCUCUCCCCUCUAUCCCUCCAGUCAGUUGUCUCCCCCUCUCCCCUCUAUCCCUCUAGUCAGUUGUCUCUCCCUCUCACUUGUAUCCUAUUUGUAUCAGAUUAGCCUUCCCAUCUAGCCUGCUCCCAGAUAUGUCUGAGCUCCAUUGCUGUUCAAGCCAAAGUGUCAAUGAGACACAGGGAGCUGGGCAUGAUAACACAAACAGACUGGCAGUCAGGCUACUUCCCACCUGUCUAUGUAUCCCAGUCUCACCCAGGUCUCCACAAGUCUCCCCCAGUCUCUCUCACAAGUCUCUCCCAGUCUCUCUCCCAAGUCUCUCCCAGUCUCUCUCCCAAGUCUCCCCAUGUCUCUCGCCCAAGUAUCCACCAGUCUCUCUCCCAAGUCUCCCCCAGUCUCUCUCCCAAGUCUCCCCCAGUCUCUCUCCCAAGUCUCUCCCAAGUCUCCCCAGUCUCUCUCCCAAGUCUCUCCCAGUCUCUCUCCACAAGUCUCCCCCAGUCUCUCUCCCAGUCUCUCUCCCAGUCUCUCUCCCAGUCUCUCUCCCAAUCUCUCUCCCAAGUCUCCCCAGUCUCUCUCCCAAGUCUCCCCUAGUCUCUUUCCCAAGUCUCCCUAGUCUCUCUCCCAGUCUCUCUCCCAGUCUCUCUCCCAGUCUCUCUCCCGGUCUCUCUGCCAAGUCUCCCCAGUCUCUCUCCCAAGUCUCCCUAGUCUCUCUCACAAGUCUCCCCGUCUCUCUCCCAGUCUCCCUAGUCUCUCUCCCAAGUCUCCCUAGUCUCUCUCCCAAGUCUCCCCAGUCUCUCUCCCAAGUCUCCCCAGUCUCUCUCCCAAGUCUCCCCGUCUCUCUCCCAGUCUCCCUAGUCUCUCUCCCAAGUCUCCCUAGUCUCUCUCCCAAG